UCGAGCGGUAGAGAGAAGCUUGCUUCUCUUGAGAGCGGCGGACGGGUGAGUAAUGCCUAGGAAUCUGCCUGGUAGUGGGGGAUAACGUUCGGAAACGGACGCUAAUACCGCAUACGUCCUACGGGAGAAAGCAGGGGACCUUCGGGCCUUGCGCUAUCAGAUGAGCCUAGGUCGGAUUAGCUAGUUGGUGAGGUAAUGGCUCACCAAGGCGACGAUCCGUAACUGGUCUGAGAGGAUGAUCAGUCACACUGGAACUGAGACACGGUCCAGACUCCUACGGGAGGCAGCAGUGGGGAAUAUUGGACAAUGGGCGAAAGCCUGAUCCAGCCAUGCCGCGUGUGUGAAGAAGGUCUUCGGAUUGUAAAGCACUUUAAGUUGGGAGGAAGGGUUGUAGAUUAAUACUCUGCAAUUUUGACGUUACCGACAGAAUAAGCACCGGCUAACUCUGUGCCAGCAGCCGCGGUAAUACAGAGGGUGCAAGCGUUAAUCGGAAUUACUGGGCGUAAAGCGCGCGUAGGUGGUUUGUUAAGUUGGAUGUGAAAUCCCCGGGCUCAACCUGGGAACUGCAUUCAAAACUGACUGACUAGAGUAUGGUAGAGGGUGGUGGAAUUUCCUGUGUAGCGGUGAAAUGCGUAGAUAUAGGAAGGAACACCAGUGGCGAAGGCGACCACCUGGACUAAUACUGACACUGAGGUGCGAAAGCGUGGGGAGCAAACAGGAUUAGAUACCCUGGUAGUCCACGCCGUAAACGAUGUCAACUAGCCGUUGGAAGCCUUGAGCUUUUAGUGGCGCAGCUAACGCAUUAAGUUGACCGCCUGGGGAGUACGGCCGCAAGGUUAAAACUCAAAUGAAUUGACGGGGGCCCGCACAAGCGGUGGAGCAUGUGGUU
This 889-nucleotide ribosomal RNA is filed under the name Pseudomonas azotoformans. RNAcentral's name for it is "bacterial SSU rRNA". It matches the Rfam family "Bacterial small subunit ribosomal RNA", at positions 62 to 946 of the family's 1533-position model. Lineage: Bacteria; Pseudomonadati; Pseudomonadota; Gammaproteobacteria; Pseudomonadales; Pseudomonadaceae. The record is from RNAcentral.